ACGGGUGAGUAACACGUGGUCAACCUUCCCGAUAGUGGGGGAUAACUAGCCGAAAGGCUAGCUAAUACCGCAUACGAUCUUCGAGCGGCAUCGCAUGAAGAUGAAAGGAGCAAUCCGCUUUCGGACGGGACCGCGUCCCAUUAGCUAGAUGGUGGGGUAAUGGCCUACCAUGGCGACGAUGGGUAGCUGGUUUGAGAGAGCGACCAGCCACACUGGGACUGAGAAACGGCCCAGACUCCUACGGGAGGCAGCAGUGAGGAAUUUUCCGCAAUGGGCGAAAGCCUGACGGAGCGACGCCGCGUGUGGGAAGAAGGCCUUCGGGUCGUAAACCACUGUCGAAGGGGACGAUAAUGACGGUACCCUUGGAGGAAGCCCCGGCUAACUACGUGCCAGCAGCCGCGGUAAGACGUAGGGGGCAAGCGUUGUUCGGAAUUAUUGGGCGUAAAGCGCUCGUAGGCGGGACUGGAAGUCCGUGUUGAAAGACCUCGGCUCAACUGAGGGACCGGCUCGGAUACUCUAGUUCUUGAAGCAAUCAGAGGGUGAUGGAAUUCCCGGUGUAGCGGUGAAAUGCGUAGA
RNAcentral lists this ribosomal RNA (576 nucleotides) under uncultured bacterium. Its description in RNAcentral is "bacterial SSU rRNA". It matches the Rfam family "Bacterial small subunit ribosomal RNA", at positions 102 to 694 of the family's 1533-position model. The record is from RNAcentral.